RNAcentral lists this ribosomal RNA (348 nucleotides) under Ototyphlonemertes fila. RNAcentral describes it as "partial 16S ribosomal RNA". It matches the Rfam family "Bacterial large subunit ribosomal RNA", at positions 1918 to 2532 of the family's 2925-position model. Lineage: Eukaryota; Metazoa; Nemertea; Enopla; Monostilifera; Ototyphlonemertidae. The record is from RNAcentral.
UGAUUUUAAACAGCCGCGGUAAUUUGACCGUGCAAAGGUAGCAUAAUCAUUUGCCUUAUAAUUGGGGGCUGGAAUGAAAGAAUAAACAAGAGUUAAGCUUUAUUUUUUGGAGAAUUAGAAAUUUCUUUCUUAGUGAAGAAGCUAAGAUAAAAAAGGGGACAAGAAGACCCUUUUGAGCUUUAUUAUUUUUCUUUUUAUGAAGAAUUAAUUUGGUUGGGGCGACCAGGGAAUAUCUUCCCUAUUUAUUACGAUCCACGGUUUGUGAUUAAAAGAAUAAGUUACCAAAGGGAUAACAGCGUAAUUUUUUUUGAGAGUUCUUAUUAAAAAAAAAGAUUGCGACCUCGAUGU